Molecule: ribosomal RNA, 617 nt
Filed under: Limosilactobacillus reuteri
Lineage: Bacteria; Bacillati; Bacillota; Bacilli; Lactobacillales; Lactobacillaceae
Description: bacterial SSU rRNA
Rfam family: Bacterial small subunit ribosomal RNA
Source: RNAcentral
ACUGAUUGAUGGUGCUUGCACCUGAUUGACGAUGGAUCACCAGUGAGUGGCGGACGGGUGAGUAACACGUAGGUAACCUGCCCCGGAGCGGGGGAUAACAUUUGGAAACAGAUGCUAAUACCGCAUAACAACAAAAGCCACAUGGCUUUUGUUUGAAAGAUGGCUUUGGCUAUCACUCUGGGAUGGACCUGCGGUGCAUUAGCUAGUUGGUAAGGUAACGGCUUACCAAGGCGAUGAUGCAUAGCCGAGUUGAGAGACUGAUCGGCCACAAUGGAACUGAGACACGGUCCAUACUCCUACGGGAGGCAGCAGUAGGGAAUCUUCCACAAUGGGCGCAAGCCUGAUGGAGCAACACCGCGUGAGUGAAGAAGGGUUUCGGCUCGUAAAGCUCUGUUGUUGGAGAAGAACGUGCGUGAGAGUAACUGUUCACGCAGUGACGGUAUCCAACCAGAAAGUCACGGCUAACUACGUGCCAGCAGCCGCGGUAAUACGUAGGUGGCAAGCGUUAUCCGGAUUUAUUGGGCGUAAAGCGAGCGCAGGCGGUUGCUUAGGUCUGAUGUGAAAGCCUUCGGCUUAACCGAAGAAGUGCAUCGGAAACCGGGCGACUUGAGUGCAGA